Molecule: long non-coding RNA, 234 nt
Filed under: Capsicum annuum
Lineage: Eukaryota; Viridiplantae; Streptophyta; Magnoliopsida; Solanales; Solanaceae
Description: long non-coding RNA (CANN_LNC000662)
Source: RNAcentral
GGUUUGUAGAUUUUUCUUUUUUUUCAACUUUAUCUAUUUUUGAAUUUGCCCGUAUAUUUAUGGAUGCAUGUUCAUUUAUAUGAAUUUACCUUAUUUUGCAAGUACUUUUAAGUUUUGGAGUUCGAUUUUUUUGAUUUUCUUCAUAUAAUAGAAGUUUGAUUUUUUAUUUUCUUGAUUUGUAGUUGAUUUAGGUUAAUCGAAUUACUGUAAAAAUUGGUAAUGGAUUCUUGUCCU